This 253-nucleotide ribosomal RNA is filed under the name uncultured bacterium. Its description in RNAcentral is "partial 16S ribosomal RNA". It matches the Rfam family "Bacterial small subunit ribosomal RNA", at positions 524 to 776 of the family's 1533-position model. The record is from RNAcentral.
UACAGAGGUCUCAAGCGUUGUUCGGAUUCAUUGGGCGUAAAGGGCGCGUAGGCGGCGGGGUAAGUCGGGUGUGAAAUCUCAGAGCUCAACUCUGAAAUGGCACUUGAUACUGCUCUGCUAGAGGACUGGAGAGGAGAUUGGAAUUCACGGUGUAGCAGUGAAAUGCGUAGAUAUCGUGAGGAAGACCGGUGGCGAAGGCGGAUCUCUGGACAGUUCCUGACGCUGAGGCGCGAAGGCCAGGGGAGCAAACGGG